This 253-nucleotide ribosomal RNA is filed under the name uncultured bacterium. RNAcentral's name for it is "partial 16S ribosomal RNA". It matches the Rfam family "Bacterial small subunit ribosomal RNA", at positions 524 to 776 of the family's 1533-position model. The record is from RNAcentral.
UACGUAGGGGGCAAGCGUUGUCCGGAAUUACUGGGCGUAAAGCGCGUGUAGGCGGACUGGUGUGUCGGAUGUGAAAUCCCCAGGCUCAACCUGGGAACUGCAUUCGAAACUGCCAGCCUUGAGUGGUGGAGAGGGAAGUGGAAUUCCUGGUGUAGAGGUGAAAUUCGUAGAUAUCAGGAGGAACACCAGUGGCGAAGGCGGCUUCCUGGACACCAACUGACGCUGAGACGCGAAAGCGUGGGGAGCAAACAGG